RNAcentral lists this ribosomal RNA (253 nucleotides) under uncultured bacterium. RNAcentral describes it as "partial 16S ribosomal RNA". It matches the Rfam family "Bacterial small subunit ribosomal RNA", at positions 524 to 776 of the family's 1533-position model. The record is from RNAcentral.
UACGUAGGGUGCGAGCGUUAAUCGGAAUUACUGGGCGUAAAGCGUGCGCAGGCGGUUCGUUGUGUCGGUGGUGAAAGCCCCGGGCUUAACCUGGGAAUGGCCAUGGAAACUGGCGAACUGGAGUGUGGCAGAGGGGGGUGGAAUUCCGCGUGUAGCAGUGAAAUGCGUAGAGAUGCGGAGGAACACCGAUGGCGAAGGCUGCCCCCUGGGCUAGCACUGACGCUCAGGCACGAAAGCGUGGGGAGCAAACAGG